GUCCUAGCUUCGGUUGGCCAUAUACCAAAAUUGGGAAGAUACAGAGAAUGACCCCUGCGCAAGGGUGAUACGCAAAAUCGCGAAGCGUUCCAAAUUUGU
RNAcentral lists this small nuclear RNA (99 nucleotides) under Aedes aegypti (yellow fever mosquito). The record is from RNAcentral. Lineage: Eukaryota; Metazoa; Arthropoda; Insecta; Diptera; Culicidae.